GUAUUGCUAUCCAUAUGUUGUUAGACUUUAAACAGCGUCAAAAAGUAAUUGUCAGACUUCUUGGUUGAGCAGCGGUUUUAGAAUUCAGUAGCUAAUGUUGCCAUUGGGAGAGUGUAUGCUUCUGCUGGGCCCUUUGCUGGUUCUGUGCAGUGCUGGUUAGGUAGAUGUUGAUGACUGAGCCUGGACCUGGGUAUUUUUCUGUAGUUUGAAAUCCCCAUCAAUGCUACUGUUGUCUGCGUAGCUGCAGAUGCUGAAGCUUCUUGUAACUGUCUUUCCAAGUUAGAUGUGGAAUAGACAAAGAAGGGGUGUUGGAAUUAUUAGGAGGGCUUUGGUAGUUUAAAAAAAAAAAAAAAAAGUAGGGGCCUGUUGUGGUGGAUGGAAAGAAGGAAUCACCAAAACCAAGUGUAUGCAGUGUGUUGCUGAUGUGAUGCUGGGGCUCUGGAGGAGAUGUAGAAGCUGGGUUUAGGGAAAAUAAAGGAAUGCAGAAGCUGGACAAGGAGAAACCUGAGAGGAAGUGGUAGGAUAUACAGUGCUCCUAUUUCGUGCAUGUUGUUUGAGUAAUGUAGGGUAUUUUUAUAUAUCACUUGUGUAGGUAUUCUCCCAACAGAAGGUAAGACUCAGGUAGAGCCUCCCCUACUUCCCACUUCCUAACACCCAUGUUUCCUCAUUAUUAAAGAAUACUUCCCCAGUAUUAUUUCUGUAUUAAAACUAGUGGUUGGUUGAUUGGUCUCUUCAGCAUAAGCUUUUACCUAAAAUGUAAGAAGAAAAAUUCACCUGAAUCCUCAGCAGCUUGAGGCAGUUCCUAAAUUCUUCUGUGUGCUUUCCCAGUAAAUAUUUCAGAGAACUUGUGAUGGCUGUGUUACUGUUACCACGGAGGUGUCAUGAUUUUAAAAAUGCAUUGUGCCAAAUCACAGUAAAAUUCUUCUCUGUACUUCUGCGUAGUUUGUACUUCCGCCCUGAAUGGCUCCCUCCCCUGAGCUGGCAGCAAACCACCUUCCGUUCACCCAGACCGAUACAAGCUUUAGGAUGGGACAAAGUGCAGACAGGCCCUGCCUACUCAUUUUCAAAGCAGAUGAGUUCCUAAGUGGUGGCAGGAAGUGUGAGUGAAGGAGAGACACUACCACCCCUAAGUUUUGUUUCAAAUAACCACAAUUAAAGGUAAUGAAAUGGAGAGAGUGAGAAUAUGGAAGAACAUCGGCAGCAUAUUCUCAAGGUAAAGGUAUGUUACCUUGAUGUCAUAUUCAAAGCCUUUGUUGACUUUCCAGGCAGAAUGCUAGAGGUGACAUUAACUUUUAAACCAGGACUGUAUUUGCCUUUGUUUCACAGCUGAGGCAGAAGAAGCCAUUCCACAUUACGUAGUUGGGUGGAAAGGACAGUAACAGAAACCAGAAGACAACUUUUUUUCUCCUACUUUUCAAUGUAAGAACAAGAAAUUAUAUGCUGUCGCAACACUUCAGGCACUGAGGGUUUAGUUAAUACCGUUGAUAAUUUAACAGGGCAGUACAUACAUUGCUGUAAAUACAUGAAGUAAAUAAAUGCUGUCUUUGGUUUUUCUAAUUUGCUUCUGCAAAAAUGUAGGAAUCUCACUGGACAUACCUGAAAUUGAGGUGAAAACAUUUCUGAACUAUACUGUUUGUAGUUGUGUGUUAACUAGGAUGUACAGAGAUGAGUAAGUGAGAAAAGUGCAUUGCUGCAAGCUGCAUAAGAAAUGUUAGGUCAGUCAGUUUCUGGUCAAUGGAAGAGAGGCCUUGGAUGAGACUACAGCAAAUACCAUGUAUUUUUAUAAUAAAAAUUAAAACUUUUGCUUUUUAAAUAAGUCUGGUUUUAAAACCAGCUCCAAAUGGCCGCUAUCUUCUAGUCUAGCUCAGUUUUUUUUACAAGUAUCUAUUGCGUGAUGUUAUCUGGGAGUAAAGUAUGUUCUUACAGCAAUCAGGGCUGUAGCAUGUGCAGUAUAGGGAGGUUUUAAAAUAGUUUUACAAGCCUUAGAGCAGCUGAUCCUUGCUACACAAUAUUGACAUUUGUCUUGCCUGGUUAGUGAACUAGGAUUUUUAAAAAUAGGCUGUUGGCCACUAGCAUAGGGAACAAUUAGGGUGUUUUCAAUUUUGUCUUAAUGCCAGGUGUAUAUGGGAGAUGGUUCACUUGCUAAUCACGGCAUUUGUCAUCAAAUUACAAUGCCCAACCAGUUCUGACUGUAUUCAGAGCCUGUACUUUUUCCUGUCUUUUAAGGGCGUUUCCCGCUUUGCUUAUGCUAUUACAUGGUCUUUAAGUCAUACAGAGCUAAAGAAAUGGUUUAAUAUUAUUUGGUAGAAAUGUUAGUAAAUACACUGAAAAGAGUGUAAAGUAUGUCCAUUAAUAGCUGAUGCUUCUGCUGUUCACAGCUUCUUUCUUUGGACCUGUUUGCAUAAUGCUUCCAGCCAGUCGAGCCCAGCUACGAUCAUGGCAAAGACCACUAUUGCUGCGUGACUGAAGAACAGAUGCAGAUCCUAGUCCUGUCAAGAACAGUCUGCAACAGUGCAGCAUACCCUUCUCUUCUGAGAGAAAAGUAAGUGCCUUUAUAUAAAACAUAUAGGAACGUUUGCACACACACGUUAGUGGCAGCUCAUGGACACAGGUUCACGACAGUGCAGACAAGACUGUGUCUUCCAUCGUCUUCAUGCUUCCAUGUUCUUCGUGUGUUCCCUGGCUUUCUUCUCACUAUCGGACCAACCCUUUUACUGAUGCAAAAAUAGCAGAAAGUAAAGCAACUUCAGGUGGUUGUUGUGAACUCCUUUGAGCAGCUGUGCUGGCCAAGGCAUUUCUUUCAUUCCUGAAAGGAAAAAGCAGCUUGUUAGAAGAUAAUUCGCAUACUUACAAAGCUGUCCUGGUAUAUAAAGCAUGCAUCAUUUAAUUACAUAUUUAUUUUCUCUAAUGCUCUGACUUUUUAAGCAUCUCAAAUGGCAGUGGGCCAUUCCCCUUUAACAAACGCAUAUCAGUGCUUACAGCAUCUAGUACUGGAAAGAUGAAGUCUGUAUCACUGCAUGGAAACAGCUCUGUUCAGCAAUUGACAGAUGUCAGAUCUGCUAUGAUUCACUGUCUUCAGUAAGCACAAAAACACAGAGAAUGAUUUGUGGUUGGUUGUUUUGUUGCUGUUGGUGAUUUUUUUUUCUAUUUAUGAAAACAACCAAGAGCAGGAAAUUAUCAGAUACCUGAAUAGUAGAUAAUACAGAAUUUCUACCUUAAAAGUUUUCUGUAAGAUAACUUAGAUCAAAAUUACCAAAAAGAUUCAAGUAAAUUCACUUGAGUAUCCUAAAGGAUAUUAUUAUUAAUAUACAUUAAUCAUAUAUUAAUAAUUACUUGAAAGGCAGUACCACGUACAUGCUACAUUCGGUAUAAAACUACACUAUUCAGUACCUAUCAGUCAGCAUCACUAUUAAGUAAUGACUGCAGAUACAAAGAUGUGGCUGACAGAACAUAAACACAGAAAAAAUAUUGGUGAAUCUCCAAGGAAAUUGGCACUUCUUAAACUGUAUUUAUCAAGUUUAUCUUUAAACAAAGCAAUUCUGUUCUAGGUGAGACUGGUGAUAAGUAGCGAUAAAGACCUUGGGAAACUUAAAAUACAAACAGUUCUCAUUUAUUUAAUGAUACUGAUCUCUUCAAAUGCAGCAUGCGCUCAUUGUUUCCAUUUUUAUAAUGGAAACUGUGACAAGUAAGCUAGGAAGGGAUUUUAGCUUUUUCUUUAUUACUGUUAUUUAUUAUUUAAUUCCUUCACAUUUCGUUAGGAUGAAUUUUGGAGGUCAGUAAUAAAAUUCUGCUGUUUGUCAAUGACCUUUUAUUUUUAAAUCCUACUCCAGUUAGCAUCUCAUGUAUCCUCUUAGAACAUGCCAGAUGUUUUACCCUUAGUCUACUCAAGCUGCUCACAUAAUUGCCUUUUCUUGGUUGUGUCCUCCACAAAGCUGCUCUUAGAUUUCUUUAAAUGUGCUCCUCUCCUAUACUCUAUUCACAUACAACUUCAGACUCCAUUGUUCAGAACACAUGCUGAUCUUUCCUAAGACUUUACUUUUUUUCAGAUUUGACACUAUCCUGUGUGCUGUAACAUAAAUAGCUUCUGCAGUCCUACUUUCUCCUUUAACAUUAAACCACUCCUUAAAAAGUCACCACUCUUUUGCAUUUCCUGGAUGAGUCACACUGCUCUGUCUCUGUAAGUUUCAGGAAUAUGGUGCUUAAUAUGUUCUAAUAAUAGUGCAGAGUAAUUAAUACUCGUGAUUCAAAAGAACACCGUGCACCCAAAACACACUGCAUGUGCACUUCACCUGAGAGCAGAAUACUGAGGAAGUUCCAACUCCCCAGUACAGGCAGUGAUGCCCAGAAGACUGCCUUAUGCAUGAGGGCAAAAGCUGUUGUUAGAACAACACUUAUUUUGUUAAAGGUAAUAAUGUGCCAGAGGAAAGGACAGGUUGUUUUAUACUCCACCUAGCAAUUACUGCCUUCUCGAAAUAGCCAGCACAGUUCCUUCACUUCAGUCAAUAGCUUUGCUUUCUGCAGCCUGGUUAAAUUAACCCUACUGCUUUCUCUCAGAAGUCAGUUUUGGCUAAUAUUUUCUCUGAAGUUAAAUUAAAUACUUAGGAAUUUCAGGGACUGUACAGGCAAUCUCUAGGUGAACUUACAUGUUUCCAUAUUUCUCCAGUCCUCUCGAUUACAAUAGUUUGUGAUUUAUUGAUGGGUGAUGUAACCUUGUAGUCAUCAGACAAAAGACCCAGAAUAGGAUACUGGUUCCUGUACCUGUAUUAACGAGAGUUGCAAACCUAUUAACUAUAAAACUAUCCAAGUCACUGACUGAUUUUAUCACAUAAUCCUGUCAAUUAACAACCCCCAAAUAUUUUUACUAGUAACUAAAAUGCUAAUACUGUAAUUUUAAUGCCACUUUAACAUGCUCAUUUGCUAUUACAAUGGUUAGCAUUGAACCCUCUGUAGGUUUUACUAGCUGAAGUUUUUUUGCCUUUAAGUUGAACAGACAUCUGACAUUAAGACAUUUGCUGGAGGUCAGGACUUAGUUUAUAGAAGCUACACAACGGAAAAUCAAAAGGAUGUAUUUUUAAGAAAGGUGAAUAAGGGUGAAUAAGUACAUUACUUCUUAGUGAUGACAGCUGUUACACCAGGGGACUGACUGUUUGAUAAUCUCUCAUGCUUGAGUCUGAAGAGGUCCUGAGAAAACCAACAAUAAAUAUUCAAGUGAACUAAUGUUUCCUCAGGUAUUAGUUCACUAAAUUCACAAAAAAAUCUUGCAGAAAUUCCUAUCAAAUAUAUAAUACAUAAAUUAACUAUAAUAUUAUAUAAUACAUAGUAUAAUAUAUUAUAAAUAUAUAGUAAUAAUUCUAACCCUGAUGCCUGAUCCAGAUAGGUACAAGUGCCUUCUAGCUUCCAACUAGUGAUAAGCAACUAGUUAAGUUGCUAUGUUUGUAGUAAGCGGAGGCUUAAGCAUAAUAUAUUCUUAGACAAAAAAUAAGCUAUCCUGUUAUACCUCUUGCUGUUGUUUAAUGCAAGCGUCUUUCUCCUCCAGCAUCGAUGUCAAUUCAUGCAACUUUAUUUGCAAGUCACUGUUGUUCCCUUCUCUUCUUGAUAUAUCUUGCUGGAAUUGGCAUAACUGAGACUAUAGAACAUAGGUUAAGAAACAGUUAGGUGCUAGGUGCUCCUUGCAGGUGACCUUCCAGUAUGCAUCAAGAACUCUAUUUUGUUCAUCAAAACCGUCAACAGUAAGACUUGAAUUAGUGUGAUUUACAAAAUGCUGUGGACAUACGGGCACACAGGAAACACGGUCAUUUUCAAAUAUAAACCUUGAACUUCACAAUAAAUUCAGAAAGCGAUGAUUGGGCUGAAUUCUGACAGUAUCAGUUUAACAUGUGUAUAAGUGGAACUGGAUCCAGGGCAGUAAAAUACUGCUAUAAUGCUUCAAGUGAGAGAUGUCCUAUGUGCAGUUUUGAUCGGGAUUUAUCUUUAUUUUCUGUUGGGUAUCUUUUGGCAGUUUCUUACUUCAUCGGGACAAAACGUCCCCUUAGGAGUUAAUGAGAUUAGCAGUAUUUCUUAAUUUCUACAUCUAAAGAAUUCUUAUUUUUUAAUGACACUUUAAUGCAUUUUAGAGCUAUCACUAGUGCUGCAUAAAGGAACUGCAGAGCCAAAAGGUAACUAAAAAGCAUGUGAUAGAUUUUUUUCUGUUACCUAAUCAAAAAAUAAUUUAAGAAAUACAUAUUUUGUAAAAAAACUGAUUACCUCCAGUCAUACAAGGUGAGGAAUACACAUAUGGCAAAAGUUAAUCUACAUACCCUAAGACUGCGGAUCUCACGAUCUUUAUCCUCUCUCAAGUUAUUGAUCAUCUCUACAUAACGGCUGGAGAGUUCAUCUGUGGUGGUCUGAAGUGUUGGAUUAGAGCAGAUCUACAGAAAAAAAGUAUUUCACAAAGACAAAAUUAUCUUCUAUCUUAUAAUUUUAUUUUCUUAAUUAUCCGUGAAUAACAGCUAUUGAAUACAGAACAAGUGAAGGUCUCAUUACUACCUGUAGUCUGAGGCUCUGAAUCUCCUGCUCCAAGGCACGCUUGCAGUAUUCCAGUUCUUUCAACUGACAAUCCUUCUCUCCCUCGCUGAGCCGUAUAGAAAGGAGCUGUUCUUCCAGAGAGCGACACUUUGCAGUACUCUCUCUGAGUCCUUGCUGGAAAGCACAGAAGUGGAAUGAAUGCAUGGUGUUCCUUAGGGAUGUAACAGGCUCACACACACACAAAUGUACACCAGGCUGUAAUCACUGAGAAUACUCACAAAGCCAUCACACUGGCUAGUUUUUGGCUGACUGUAGAAAUACUGAAACUACGUUCUUAGCUUUACCUGCUGCUGAUGAUUAUUCUCUCGCAGAGAUGUCAACAUAGUUUCAUAUUCUUUUACUUGAGAUUCUUUAAAAGCCAAAUCCUUCUUCAGUAAGACAUUGUCAGUUUCUAACUUCUGUAAGACAAAAGUGUGAACUGUCAUUAGUUGCAAUUUUUCAGUGAGCAGUCCUAUGUAUGUUCAAAGUGCAAUAUACUAAGUGAUGUUUUAGUACUUAAAAUUACCCAAUUUUCUUUUAACUACAUAGAGCUCACAUUUGCUCAUCAUUGCAGUUCGCUGUGGCUUCAUGCUGUGUGGUAAGCACUGUUAUCUUGGACGCUGCUCUUUCAGUCUGUCCCAGAAAGACUUAUUUGUAGUUAUUAAACAGAAACCAAGAGAAAAAUCCGAACCGAAGACCACUUCACUGCACAGACUCCAGCUUUCCUAUGGAGCAGGGAGUACCCCUUAGACAGGAAUGGAACCAAGGUCUCCUGCUUCCUGGCAGAAUGCUAUUUAAGUAAGCACUUGGCAUAUGUGCCCUGUCCAUGUCACAAGUAAAACCACAGUUCCAGUACAUCUCCACCAAAUAGACAUGCAUAGAUUGUGUAUGCCAAUUCAGAGCUCUAAGUCUAAGUCCACUCAAAAGGGCCUUUUCUGCCUUUGAAAUUGUUUGGUUAUUUAGGCUUCAACAAACUGAACACCUAAAAACCACUUCUAGGAAGAAAUCCAAUCUCGUGUGCUGGUCAGCUCUCGCAAGGCCAAUAAACCAUCCAUUUCUGUUAAAGCACCUGAAGUCUGGACUUCCAAGUUAAACUUCAUCAGAAAGGACUUCUUACUGACAGGUAGCAACAAACGGACGAGGCCCAGGAAAUGGAAAAAUAGCAACUUACCCCCAGGUCAUCCUGUAAGUGGCAAAGCUCUUCACGUAAAUUUUUGAAAGUGGAAAGCACAAGUCUCAAAGAUUUAUCAGAUGUUACUCUCAUCUAGGAAAGGAAAAAAAAAAGCAAAAAAAAAGCAAAGAAUAUAUUAUUCUGAUUAAUUAGUGAGCUUUGUUUACCUUAUGCUUAGCUAUGUGUGAAAGAACAGAACUGCUAUACAGCUGAAAAUAACUCCUGGCAGUACUGUGCAUGUCAUUCUUGAUGAUUUCUACAAAGAGACACAUUUUCAAGUACUUUGUUCUGCAGACAACAGAAUCUCUGAAUGAUUGCCUUGUAACACACAGGACAACAUUUUUUAAAAAAUGCGUGAACAAGAGAGUAAAUGAAAAUUGCAUUUACACACCAAUAAAGAUAAAAAUAAAUGCAUUAAUAUUGCAUAAUCAUUUUUUGAGAGCUUUCUGAGUUAUACUGAUAGGGUAACCACCCCACCUGGAAUGCCACAGAGGAAGGAGUCAUCAUUGAGACCUGACAAAGCCCCCUUUCAGCCCAAGUGCAAGAGAAUUUAUUAAACAACAACAAGCAAAAGUGCCACACAACCAGUUCUUCACUUUAAGAGUUCCCUAAGAUUUAAGGAGUCAACUGAAUGAGAAAGAAAGGCAAUAGUGCACAACAGCCUAACACUCAUCUCUUUUUUUUUUUUUAAUACACACUAACAAUUGUGUAUGGAUUCAUGGGAAAUGACAAAAUGUUGAAUUUCGUGAUGCAUUUCCAAUAUUCAAAAGAAAAAAAUGACUUUGAAAGAAAACACAGAAGAAUUCCUCUUUUUUUUUUUGACUCAUAUAGAUAGGCUGAACAUUCUUUGCAAAAGAAUUUUGCAAAUGUUACUUUUUGAAAACAAUGAAAUUCUGUCCCUCUUCCUCCAAUACUCUCAACUCUAUGAAAGAAAUUUGUUGAUCAUUCAAAUCUAAGAAAACUAUUAAGCCCCUGUCACAUUUGUCAUUUCUACUGGUAACAUAUUGAGACUGAGGCCUCACAAAAUAACAUUUCUAGCAUUUUUUGUAAUUAAAGUGGAAUUUCAGUUCUUUCAGUUGCUGACAAACAUGUUUCACCAAAAGACAUUUUGUGUACUUUUAAAGCAUUUUUAUAAGAAUGUAAAACUAGAUAGACGUAGAGAAAAUGGAAGAUACAUGUUUCAGUUCUUUCACAAAGGGCAUGGUGUUCUAAUGAGAUCAUGAAAUAUUUUGCUGUCAGUGUCCUUCAUUCUAAAAGAAUCACAAAAUAAUCAAGGUUGGAAGAGCCGUGAGAGGUCACCCUGUCCAACCUCAUGCUUAAAAACCAGGAUGAGCUGUGAAGUCAGAGCAGGUUGCUCACUCACACGUUUUCUUUACCAGGAGGUGUUCUGCAACCCUCAGAUGGGAUCACCUGAGCCCUACCCCAUGGAGACCAGAUCAGUGCAGGCUGCUUUGGAUCCUGUUCUACCUACAGGUCAAGUCCACCAUUUGGGAGCCAACCCUGGGAUUCACACACUAGCUACUGCUAUUCACAAUAGCACUGUUUUUAAUGUUUUAUCAAAGGAAGGGGUCUUCCAAGCACUUCCUAAAGAAGUCAGUGGUUUUUGUAAAAAAACAUGUUACGGAGACUGUUAGAAUGUUAGGAAGCAACGCAAUGCAUAACCAUUAUCAGAAGCUGACAUUCUUGUUGGAUUGCCUUGCAGCCAAACCUACGUGGCUGUUGAUUGAAAAAGCAGGUAGAGAUGGUUAAGUGGCUAAAGAAUAUGAUGAGACAGAACACAAAAGCCAUUUAUAGAUGGAGCCAAACCAGAAAUGGUUUAUGUUUUGUUACUGGAUGUUUUAAGCAUGCCACAGAGAUACUGCUCUGGUACAGCUGUUUAACCAGACCAUUUGUAAAAGGUGAGACCUCAGUUAUAAGCAGUGUAUGUAAUAAGCAGUAAUCAAUACUCAAUUCAACAUUCAGUAAAACGCCUACUAUGCACUUUUAGCUUUUAAUAUAAAGCAUUAAUAUACAACACAAACAAAUAAAAAGAUGAAAAAUCAGUGUUCUCCUACAAUUAAUGUCAAAAGCCAAAAUGGUUUCCAGUGGAACUGGAAGAAAGCUGCAGUAAAGCUGGGUUUAAAAUACACAAAUAAUCUGUGGAGUGAACUGCCACAACAUGUCACUUGAAGCCACCUGUAUGCUUCCGUACCCUUCACGUAGAAUAAAUGGAGUAAGCAGAAUAUAGAGCAAUUUAUGUUUUGUACCAAUUCCCAGGUAUGUGUUGAGCCAACUUCUACUGUUUGGAGUUACUACAGGCUUCCAUACAUCCCCCUCCAUGCUAUGUACAUACCUGGAGGAGAUAACGAAUCUGCUGCUUUGUUGCCUCAGACAGUCCUUUGGGAAUUAAAUCUUCUACAUCUUCAGUCUAAGCAAAGGAAGGAAGGAGGAAACAUCUUAUUAAGAAUUUUGCCUGGUUGAUCAUAAUGUGGUUUCUUCAUUAAUUACAUAGCUCUCCUAUGAAAAACAUGUUUAGUGCAAGGCAAAUCAGAAGGAAAAUAGAUCAAAGUAUAUCCAAAAAUGUUCAAAAGCCUUAUAUGUGGCAUAUAGAAACUGAGAUGAAAUGAUAAACGAAGCAUAUAUUCAAAUAUGCAUAAAGCUUAACAUUUCUUUUAAACGCAGCAUUCAAAACAAUUCCCUCUCAAGAAAUAGCAAUUAACACUAAAACAGAACUCCCAGCAGUUAAUGAUUAUGAGCAAACCUCAUUUUUCUAAAUAAUGAAUAGACUGUCAAUAAAUAAAUGACCAACACGUGACAGGAGAUACUGCCAGUGAUUAAGCGGCAUUGCUUCAUGCAAUUAAAUCCUAGACAAAUAUUACUACCAUAUAAAUAAUGACUUCAAAAAUAACAAAUGUUGGUCCCAGUGAAUGCGUCAUGGCUGGAUUCCCAAAAGAGAGCUGUCUGUAAAUCUAAGAAGUGUUCUGUCAACUUUACUUCCCCUCACUUCUGUGAGAGGCGGCGUUCUUCCCUUCUCGCAGUGCCCGGCAGUGUACGUUGCUGAACAAACGCUUUGUUGGCAAGAGUGAAAGAUCCUACACACAAAGCGCCCAGUGAAAACGGUGUAUGUGUGUAAGUUUGGGCUACAAUGAAACCACCACUGGCAUAACAGGAACGACUUUUAAAAUUUCACUCUGAUGCUGGAAUGCAAAUUGUUCAACUUCCCUUCUUUUGGUAUUAGCACAUUUGCAAAUACAUAGCUCGCAGUAGGCUGCAGGCUCUGAAUGUUACUAACAAGCAGAAGUUGUUAGCUAACAGACCAGUAUCCUUCAGCUAAACUGGCUUGGCUUAAUUUGUUCCAAGAUUCACACCACUCUUAUUAAAACUAACUUUUAGGGAACAGCUUUGUAGGAGCAUCCAUGAUGCUUACCUGACUCGUAAAUUCAACGUCAUGGUUCCUGUGAAACAGACAAAAUGCAGGGACUGAUUAACAGAAAACCUGACAACUCCAAGUUCAUGAUCACACUGACAAUUACAAGAGGAUUAGCUUUAAAAUAU
Long non-coding RNA from Oxyura jamaicensis (ruddy duck), 11248 nucleotides. RefSeq lists it as uncharacterized. The transcript has 3 exons. Lineage: Eukaryota; Metazoa; Chordata; Aves; Anseriformes; Anatidae. The record is from RefSeq and is a predicted model, not a curated record.